Molecule: ribosomal RNA, 425 nt
Filed under: uncultured bacterium
Lineage: Bacteria
Description: bacterial SSU rRNA
Rfam family: Bacterial small subunit ribosomal RNA
Source: RNAcentral
GGGGAAUAUUGGACAAUGGGGGCAACCCUGAUCCAGCCAUGCCGCGUGUGUGAAGAAGGUCUUCGGAUUGUAAAGCACUUUAAGUUGGGAGGAAGGGCUUGCGGUUAAUACCUGCAAGUUUUGACGUUACCGACAGAAUAAGCACCGGCUAACUCUGUGCCAGCAGCCGCGGUAAUACAGAGGGUGCAAGCGUUAAUCGGAAUUACUGGGCGUAAAGCGCGCGUAGGUGGUUCAGUAAGAUGGAAGUGAAAUCCCCGGGCUCAACCUGGGAACUGCUUUCAUAACUGCUGGGCUAGAGUACGGUAGAGGGUAGUGGAAUUUCCUGUGUAGCGGUGAAAUGCGUAGAUAUAGGAAGGAACACCAGUGGCGAAGGCGACUACCUGGACUGGUACUGACACUGAGGUGCGAAAGCGUGGGGAGCAAAC